Molecule: long non-coding RNA, 1021 nt
Organism: Oncorhynchus tshawytscha (Chinook salmon)
Lineage: Eukaryota; Metazoa; Chordata; Actinopteri; Salmoniformes; Salmonidae
Source: Ensembl
CGGCACAUUUGAUUUAUUUGGUUUUAUCCCUGCGGAGAGGAACAAUCACCAGGUCAUGUUUAACAGGAAGUUGUAUGAGCAGGAGCUCAGCUCAACCUCUCAGUACCACAGGAAUGUGGAGUAUACUUACAUGCUUUUUUCAUUACCAUAUUAUACUACGUUCCAUGUAGUCUGGGAAAACUAUAGAUUGGGGAGACGGGUGAAUUAGCAUCAGACAACAUCCCUUAGGAAUCUUUACCACAGAUACUUGAGAAAUAGACUGCUUUGUUGAUCACACUAAAUGUUCUCUAAAUUGCAUUAUGUCGAAGGUCAAAAUGUAAAAUGGAAAUUAGGAGUUACCCUUGCUUUGAAUAAUAAGUUAUAGUUUCUUUCUGGAUACCCAUGAAAACCAUUGAAAGGUGACAAAUCAGGUUAAAAACACAUGUCCUCGCAUCGUGAGCCUGUUUGCAAAAUCAGAAAUAGUAUCAGACAUAUUGAUUCAAAUAAUACAAUAAAAAAACAUUCAUUACAAUCGGUGAGAAUAACACCCCCCCCCCAAAAAAAACAAAAAAAAACGUAGAUCUGUAAUUACAGAGGUGAGGGACAAGAGAUCUUAAUGUGUUGAUGAACAUUUGAGCGCUUUUACAUGCCUGGAGGAAUUCCAUUAACUAUCAUGAUUAAAGCAAUCAUCAGACUCAUUGGUGCCUGUCAGAUCUCAUCUCUGCCUUCUCAAUUACCCAAAUCUCCUUGAACUCAAUUGCUCACAUCAUCAUGACGCUGUGGCAGAGCGUCCUCCUCGCAUGUCCUCUCGGCCCUGCACUGCAGCACAACAGGUUUACAGCAGAGAUGUUCCCUCCUUUGGCCCCUCCAAAUGAGCUAAGUGAACGAAUCCAGGGAGGCAAAGUAAACCAUUGUGCCGUUCCACAUGGAGUCCCACAGAGGACCCCUAUUGGCUUAUUAAAAGCAUUAUUUGUCAGGUUAGAGGCUCUCACGUCAACCUCCUGCAGUGAGACAUGGCUAAUUCAUUCAUCCAUUAGCCAGG